Molecule: ribosomal RNA, 541 nt
Filed under: uncultured bacterium
Lineage: Bacteria
Description: partial 16S ribosomal RNA
Rfam family: Bacterial small subunit ribosomal RNA
Source: RNAcentral
UGGGGAAUUUUGGACAAUGGGCGCAAGCCUGAUCCAGCCAUGCCGCGUGCGGAAAGAAGGCCUUCGGGUUGUAAACCGCUUUUGUCAGGGAAGAAAUCUUCUGAGUUAAUACCUCGGGAGGAUGACGGUACCUGAAGAAUAAGCACCGGCUAACUACGUGCCAGCAGCCGCGGUAAUACGUAGGGUGCAAGCGUUAAUCGGAAUUACUGGGCGUAAAGCGUGCGCAGGCGGUUUUGUAAGACAGAGGUGAAAUCCCCGGGCUCAACCUGGGAACUGCCUUUGUGACUGCAAGGCUUGAGUGCGGCAGAGGGGGAUGGAAUUCCGCGUGUAGCAGUGAAAUGCGUAGAUAUGCGGAGGAACACCGAUGGCGAAGGCAAUCCCCUGGGCCUGCACUGACGCUCAUGCACGAAAGCGUGGGGAGCAAACAGGAUUAGAUACCCUGGUAGUCCACGCCCUAAACGAUGUCAACUGGUUGUUGGGAAGGUUCCUUCUCAGUAACGUAGCUAACGCGUGAAGUUGACCGCCUGAGGAGUACGGCCGC